RNAcentral lists this ribosomal RNA (213 nucleotides) under uncultured bacterium. RNAcentral's name for it is "partial 16S ribosomal RNA". It matches the Rfam family "Bacterial small subunit ribosomal RNA", at positions 1288 to 1500 of the family's 1533-position model. The record is from RNAcentral.
ACGUUCGGAUUGCAGUCUGCAACUCGACUGCAUGAAGCCGGAAUCGCUAGUAAUCGCGGAUCAGAAUGCCGCGGUGAAUACGUUCCCGGGUCUUGUACACACCGCCCGUCACACCAUGGGAGUCGGAAAUGCCCGAAGCCGGUGGCCUAACCGAUAAGGGAGGAGCCGUCGAAGGCAGGUCUGAUGACUGGGGUGAAGUCGUAACAAGGUACC